RNAcentral lists this long non-coding RNA (225 nucleotides) under Homo sapiens (human). RNAcentral describes it as "non-protein coding lnc-LY86-4:4". Lineage: Eukaryota; Metazoa; Chordata; Mammalia; Primates; Hominidae. The record is from RNAcentral.
AAAGGAGUGCCUUGGUGCUGGCAGAAGCCGGGGGGCACAGCUGGGUUUUACAAGGAAGGACGAAAUCUCAUCUCAGCAAUCGGGAUAGAUCAACCGUUGCCCGUCUGAGGUGACCCAAUUCAGGGACCAGCCGCUUGGCUCUGAACACACACGUGUCACAACCCCAGCUCGUACCCAGGCCUUGCUAGAGCUCCUCGGGACAGGCCUGAAUUCAUGAUACCAUCU